RNAcentral lists this ribosomal RNA (253 nucleotides) under uncultured bacterium. RNAcentral describes it as "partial 16S ribosomal RNA". It matches the Rfam family "Bacterial small subunit ribosomal RNA", at positions 524 to 776 of the family's 1533-position model. The record is from RNAcentral.
GACAGAGGCCUCGAGCGUUAGGCGGAAUCACUGGGCUUAAAGCGUGUGUAGGCGGCUCGUUAAGUACCUUGUGAAAUCCCACAGCUUAACUGUGGAACUGCUUGGUAUACUGCCAGUCUUGAGCCAGCUAGGGGCUACCGGAACAAAUGGUGGAGCGGUGAAAUGCGUAGAUAUCAUUUGGAACGCCAAUGGUGAAAACAGGUAGCUGGGGCUGUGCUGACGCUGAGACACGAAAGCCAGGGGAGCGAACGGG